GACGAACGCUGGCGGCGUGCUUAACACAUGCAAGUCGAACGGAAAGGCCCGGCUUUUGUGGGGUUCUCGUUUGGCGCACAGGUGAGUAACACGUGUGUAACCUGCCCUUGACUUUCGGAUAACAUCAGGGAACUGCGGCUCAUACCGCAGAGGAGCUCCUGAUGCGUGUUGGUGGUUGGAAAGAUUCGGCGGUUGGGGAUGGACUCGCGGCUUAGCAGCCUCUUGGUGUGGUAGUGGCUUACCAAGCCUUUGAAGGGUAGCCGGCCUGAGAGCGUGACCGGGGACAAUGGGACUGAGAGAGGGACCAGACGCGUAUGUGAGGCAGCAGGCGGAAGCAUGGCACAAUGGGCGGAAGCCUGAGGUAGCAAUGUCGCGUUCGGAAUGAUGUGUUUCUGGGUGUAAACAGCUGUGUCCGGUGAUGAAGCGGUAGUGACGGUAACGGGUAAAGAAGCAACGGCUAACUACGUG
This 468-nucleotide ribosomal RNA is filed under the name uncultured bacterium. RNAcentral describes it as "partial 16S ribosomal RNA". It matches the Rfam family "Bacterial small subunit ribosomal RNA", at positions 28 to 507 of the family's 1533-position model. The record is from RNAcentral.